GCGAGGGGAGCCCUAGCACAGGUGCUGCAUGGCCGUCGUCAGCUCGUGCCGUGAGGUGUUGGGUUAAGUCCCGCAACGAGCGCAACCCCGCCGUUAGUUGCCAGCGGUUCGGCCGGGCACUCUAACGGGACUGCCCGCGAAAGCGGGAGGAAGGAGGGGACGACGUCUGGUCAGCAUGGCCCUUACGGCCUGGGCGACACACGUGCUACAAUGCCCACUACAAAGCGAUGCCACCCGGCAACGGGGAGCUAAUCGCAAAAAGGUGGGCCCAGUUCGGAUUGGGGUCUGCAACCCGACCCCAUGAAGCCGGAAUCGCUAGUAAUCGCGGAUCAGCCAUGCCGCGGUGAAUACGUUCCCGGGCCUU
RNAcentral lists this ribosomal RNA (364 nucleotides) under uncultured Thermus sp. RNAcentral describes it as "bacterial SSU rRNA". It matches the Rfam family "Bacterial small subunit ribosomal RNA", at positions 1017 to 1382 of the family's 1533-position model. Lineage: Bacteria; Thermotogati; Deinococcota; Deinococci; Thermales; Thermaceae. The record is from RNAcentral.